RNAcentral lists this ribosomal RNA (115 nucleotides) under uncultured bacterium. RNAcentral describes it as "partial 16S ribosomal RNA". It matches the Rfam family "Bacterial small subunit ribosomal RNA", at positions 1373 to 1482 of the family's 1533-position model. The record is from RNAcentral.
CCCGGGCCUUGUACACACCGCCCGUCACACCACGAAAGUUGGCAACACCCGAAGCCGGUGGGCUAACCCGCAAGGGAGGCAGCCGUCGAAGGGUGGGGGUUGAUGAUUGGGGGUG